UAUGAGAUCCAUCCAAAAGUCUCUCCACUAAGGACUGUCAAUAAAUCAACAAACAAAUCAGAAAUUAAGAGAGAUGGAAUCUGCAAUAAAUGGGAGACCUCCACCAAAGCUUAAAGUGUUCAUCAGUUUCCGUGGCAGCGACGUUCGCGACAGCUUCUUAGGUAUUCUCAAAGAGAGGUUAAUCAAGAACGAAGUCAAUGUGGAAACGGACGAUAACGCAGAGAGAGGGAAACCAAUUAGUGAGAAUCUGUUGAAGCUAAUAAGAGAAUCGAGUAUCGCAAUGGUGUUUGGACGAGUUGGUGGAGAUCAAGAAACAAAUGGAUCUGAGGAAGCUUGAUCCUCUUCCCAUCUUCUUUGCUGUAAAUGCCUCCCACGUCAAACUUUAUGGAGCAAGUCGUUUCAAGGAGAAUCUCAAGUGGUUGGAAGAUGAAGAACGCCAAAAGGCAAGAAAGGUUAGUACACAAGCCUUGGAGGAUGCGGAGAGGAGGUUCCUUAGCUGGAGGGAAGCUUUGGAAUCUGUCACGAAGUGCAUGGGAUUGACCUAUAAACCGGAGCCGUUCUACUCCUUGAAGGGAGUUUUGGUAUCUUUUGCCAUUUGCCUCGGCUUGCCCAUUAACAGCUGCGGCCAAAGAGCCCAAGACGUCCUUGUUGAUAAAAUCGUUGAGAGUGUGAAAGAAAUGCUAUACAAGAUUAUGCCGCAAUAUCCAGUGUUCCUUAGUUUCCGAGGUCUAGAUAUCUACUACAAAUUCGCUAGCUCUCUCAAAGCUGCCAUGAAAGAGAGUCACACCAACGUCUUGGUUGAAAAAGAACACAGUGGAAAAGAAUCCUUAGUUGGUAAGUUUAAGGAGAUUGAACAGUCUAGGAUUUUUUUUUUGUAUGAAUGUUAAAUUAUAUUCACCAAAAAACCGUUCUACAGAAUUCUUUAAAACUGUAAUUGAAAAGAAACUGAGAAAAUCAAAAAAUCAAAAAGAUGAACUAUUUAGACAGGAUGGGUAUGAAACCAGUACUGCAGACCACUCUCGUAACCGGGGGAGACUGUUAACGUGAGUAGUCGAUUCCGGACCGUCUUAACGAUGAAGCGGCACAAGUUGGAGGUUGAGGUGGGGGCUUCGCCAUGACGUUGAGCAUUGCGUUCCCUCCAGAUACUAUGAAUCGUAGCCUGAAACACGUAUCGCAGAACGAACAAAUGGGGCCGAGGUGUGGACGAGUCAAGGAGCAGAGUAGCCAACGAGUCCCAGGUCGUGGUAAACCGGACACCAAGCAAGCCACUAGCCAAAGUCGACCAAACAUGUGAGGAAUAGGAGCAAGAGAAAAAUAGAUGGUUUCUAGUUUCCACAUGUCCUUGGCAGAGAACACAAGCACCGUUUGCUCCUGGAUUCCAUUGAAGUAGUUUGUCUCCUGUUGAGAGCCUGUUAUAAAAAGCAAGCCAGGUGACAAAUGAGAACUUAGGGGUGGAGUGAGUGAACCAAACACCUUUAGACCAAUCCCAAGGAGGGUGAUGUUGCCUAAUCAGAUGCCAGGUAUCCAGAGAGGAGAACUUGCUCUUGAAAGAGCCAUUACGCUGUUUCCAAAGAGGACGAUCAUCACCUUGUUGUUGCACUGAACCACAAAUAGAAUGAAGCUCCGUUUCAAGAUUGUUUAAAAGAACAGUCUAGGAUUGCAGUUGUGAUCUUCACUAAGACUUACACGAGGUCGCGAUGUUGCUUGGAUGAGCUAACGGAGAUUAGAAAAUGCGUGGACAAGAACGUGAUGCGACUCAUUCCUAUCUUCUACGAGGUGGACCCAAUGGACAUGAUUCUCGAUGACCAGCUAGUAGAGAACUGGACUAGAUAUGAAGACAAAAUCAACCAAUGGAAGAGCUCUUUAGAGUUUGUUGCUACCACUAAAGAUAAAAUUUUAUAUCCACGAACUAAACUAGAGGUUGAUUUUAUUGAAGAAAUCGUCCAAGAAGUUAAGAAUGUGUUAGUCAACACUUUAAUCAAGGAGUCAGUUUCUUCUUCUGCAAUGUCUUCCAAAUCUUUCUGAUCUUCUUUUUGAAUGUUUAUUUUCAGCUGUAAUGUAUACUUCUUAGUUAUUACAAAAUUAAAGUUAAAGUUGUAAAGUAGUCCAAGUCUACAUCAAACUUAAGCUUAAUGGGAUCAAGAACUUUGGCAUCAAACUCUGUAUCCAAGAUUUUUAAGCUGCAAAUGAGUAAAAAUAUGUUGCAAG
This is a non-coding RNA of Camelina sativa (false flax), 2208 nucleotides long. NCBI's taxonomy places the organism in Eukaryota, Viridiplantae, Streptophyta, Magnoliopsida, Brassicales, Brassicaceae. The record is from RefSeq and is a predicted model, not a curated record.